ACAGAACCAGUAACCGCCCCUGGACAGCCGACAAGGGUCCGAGCAUCCGCAGCCUAAAGUGAACAUCGAUUGAACGCCUCCUGGACGCGUUAGAUGGGAUGCUCCAAUGUGUAUACGUCAGCAGACGUCCCACGUAUGUUACCCUGUGGACACCGUGCGCACCCCAUCCGCAGUGUGUCCACAAAGAGCCGUUUCAGCAUCCCUUUUCGCCCUUCACACUCCAACUCGUUCUUCUCUCCCGGUCUGUCGUCUGACUGCGUCGCCGCCUAGAGCAGAAAUCUGCGCAGAAGGCUUAUUUUUUCCGCAACGCGCAGAAGAGAGAGUCACGUGAUGCCAUAGCCUGUUGUGCGGAUGAUUUCAAACGCCGCUGGAGACGCUGGAGAAACAUGGCGGCGUCUGGAAUGGCUCGGAGUAAUACGGUAAUUUUCAACGCGAACAGCACCAGUACAACUUGAAUUUUGUGAAGAGUUAGGAGCAUAUGCCUUGUACGUAACGGAUUCUCCAUCGGGGGCCAAUGUCUAUGACCCAAAUGCAGGUAAACGGCCGUGGUGCCUUUGUUUCCUAGCGCUCGCGUUUAAGACUCAUUUGUUCUUCAAGUCGCUUUAGCCCACUGGCUAGUGAAAAAAAAAUGCAAUCGAUCCUAGCUGAGCUUGUAAUAUAGGCAUAUUAGCAUUGCGUGCUACUUUUAUUUUGUGGUUCAUUCACUGUGUUCUUGAUGUUCUUUCAGGCAUAAAGGGCUAUACCGCUUAGCAUCGGUCAUUCAUUGCUGCGUGCGUCUCAGCGUCUCACAGAGAGUGUGGAGUGUUUUCUCUAUGAGCAGUCUUGGAAUUAUUUACUGUCUUAUGCGUUACAGUGUGCCUCGGUGGCAGAACUUGGCCAAUGAGUUACAGAGGCCGGAAGACACAGAAAGGAACAAUAUCAAGACACCGGUAGCCAUUCACAAGACGUGAAGGAGCGUGAGGAUACAAUAACGUGGUGAUAUGGUGAUCACGAUCUGUAUGAACUGGAAUGAUCUGGAUAUGGCACCUUGUCACGUGUUUUCAUUAUUUGUACUGCUUAUGUGCCGGCAGGCAUGUACGAAUGCACAUGUAAAUAAAGUCCACAUAGAAAUAAAGUAUUUUGGUUGCA
Ornithodoros turicata is the source of this 1128-nucleotide long non-coding RNA. RefSeq lists it as uncharacterized. The transcript is spliced from 3 exons. NCBI's taxonomy places the organism in Eukaryota, Metazoa, Arthropoda, Arachnida, Ixodida, Argasidae. The record is from RefSeq and is a predicted model, not a curated record.